UACGUAGGUGGCGAGCGGUGUCCGGAUUUACUGGGCGUAAAGGGAGCGUAGGCGGACUUUUAAGUGAGAUGUGAAAUACCCGGGCUCAACUUGGGUGCUGCAUUUCAAACUGGAAGUCUAGAGUGCAGGAGAGGAGAAUGGAAUUCCUAGUGUAGCGGUGAAAUGCGUAGAGAUUAGGAAGAACACCAGUGGCGAAGGCGAUUCUCUGGACUGUAACUGACGCUGAGGCUCGAAAGCGUGGGGAGCAAACAGGAUUAGAUA
This 261-nucleotide ribosomal RNA is filed under the name uncultured prokaryote. RNAcentral describes it as "partial 16S ribosomal RNA". It matches the Rfam family "Bacterial small subunit ribosomal RNA", at positions 524 to 784 of the family's 1533-position model. The record is from RNAcentral.